RNAcentral lists this ribosomal RNA (253 nucleotides) under uncultured bacterium. Its description in RNAcentral is "partial 16S ribosomal RNA". It matches the Rfam family "Bacterial small subunit ribosomal RNA", at positions 524 to 776 of the family's 1533-position model. The record is from RNAcentral.
UACGGAGGGUGCAAGCGUUAAUCGGAAUUACUGGGCGUAAAGCGCGUGUAGGUGGUUAUGCAAGUUGGGUGUGAAAUCCCUCGGCUCAACCGGGGAAGUGCAUCCAAAACUAUAUGACUAGAGGACGGUAGAGGAAGGUGGAAUUCCUAGUGUAGAGGUGAAAUUCGUAGAUAUUAGGAGGAAUACCUGUGGCGAAGGCGGCCUUCUGGGCCGUUCCUGACACUGAGACGCGAAAGCGUGGGGAGCAAACAGG